RNAcentral lists this long non-coding RNA (1522 nucleotides) under Homo sapiens (human). Its description in RNAcentral is "HSALNT0098607". Lineage: Eukaryota; Metazoa; Chordata; Mammalia; Primates; Hominidae. The record is from RNAcentral.
CUGGAGAAGCACGAUUUAAAUUGGGUACUGCUCUCUGGAACUUGCCCCUCAUUUCGAUUCAACUCAAAGGCUCAAGAUCAAAAUGCUUGCUUGAGUGGUCACAAGUGAGGGAAACAGUGAGAGACUACGCCCAUGUACGUAUGUGAAAGACCACAAAAGACUGAGAUAAGCAUGGCAUCUGACCACUGAAGAAGGAAGCUGGACGAGAAUGAGGGAAAAUGGACAACACUUGGGAGGAAAGGAAGCAAGUGGGAAGGACAAAGUUAAACAGGUAGUGAGAGAAGAGGCUAUAGGAAUGAGGAGGAACUAGGAGGAAAGAAGUAUUUUUUCCCUUCCACCUUUUUUCUCUCUCUACUCUUUUCCUUCAUGAUCUCAGUCACUAUUAGGCCUUCAAUACUCCUUUCUGUUUGCAUGAUUGCCAAAUAUCUCCAUUCUUGCCUUUUCUCCAACUACUGAGCUGGCCACAUCCAUCUACAUUUCCUAUUAACACUGUAAAUCCAACAGGUCCAACCUGAAUUCAGCAUCUCCUUCAUCUCAAGCCUGCUGCUACUUUUAUAUGCACUUCUCUUAUACUUAUCAAACAUCCAUCUAAACCAUUCUCUCUCCCCAUAUUCUUUCAAUCGUUCCUUCAUCCAACAAAUAUUUAUUGUGCAUCUAUUAUGUCCGAUACAUUCAGCCACAGCCCUAGAUAUAUCCAUUCACUCAUGAAGUCGGGUCAUUUCUAUCUUGGAAAUCUCUUCUCUCACUACCUCAUGAGCUGCCUAACUCAACUAAAUUUGUCUCUAAGACGUCCUGAGAAACCCUCUUGCUUGAAAAAUAAUAUAUAUUAACUAGUUUUGCAUGCUAUUCAUUCUAUAGUGAUCAUCUAGCACUUGGCACUGUACCUCGGGCACAGAAGGGGUUCCCAAUGGAGGUUUAGGGACUGUAAACCAGCUAGAAAGGGAACAGGGGCAGCAGAAGCUAGGAAACGUCUUGAACGAGUAUUUGCAUAGGAAGCAUGGUAAACUGUAUGAUCUAUACACAUAACAUCAGCUUGAUAAUCCUUGUGUUUCCGGGGGAUGGCUCUGGGAGGCUGGGGAGAUCGUUGGAAGCCUUCUGAGAGAAAGCUCCACCUCCCACCGCUUGAGUAGGUCCUCAACAACCACCUGAUGAUGUAUCACCUUCUGAGGGGACCAUGGAUAUUGUGUUCGCCGUUGUAUCCCCGGCCCCUACAACAUCUGGCCCAUAGUAGGGAUUCAAUAAACAUCGAUGCAGGAUUCUCGAAAGGCAGAUAAUUCACCACCUCAUGAACGACAAAGACGAAGGGGUUCUGAGGGAAACAGAAAUAGCGCGCGAGGUUUCCUUCCCUAUUCCUUCAGGGCUUGGUACAGGGUAAGUGCUGAGGAAAUAAAUCGCCCUCCUGUACAACUCCAAAAUCGGGCCCCUCGCUCUGCAGUCAGGCCCGGAAGGAGGCAAGGCGGGAAGUGGCUGCAGCUGUGAGGCGCCAGGGGCGGGAAGCGGGCGGCGGGCCCAGCCGAGGGUC